This 225-nucleotide long non-coding RNA is filed under the name Nicotiana benthamiana. Its description in RNAcentral is "long non-coding RNA (NBEN_LNC029220)". The record is from RNAcentral. Lineage: Eukaryota; Viridiplantae; Streptophyta; Magnoliopsida; Solanales; Solanaceae.
UCUCUUCACAAUUGAUUGUCAUUGACUUCACAAUCGAUUAUUUUGAGCGUUGAAAAACUUUGAUGGACAUUGCCUCAUCACAAUAGAUUGUCAUAAGGUUCACAAUCGAUUGUCAUGCAGGUUUGAAAAAACUGAUGCUCACUGUCUUAACACAAUCGAUUGUCAUUAGUUCACAAUCGAUUGUCAUGCAGUCUUGGCUUAACAUAAUCGAUUAUCAUAAGUACA